RNA transcript from Vicia villosa (hairy vetch), 1352 nucleotides. RefSeq lists it as uncharacterized. Lineage: Eukaryota; Viridiplantae; Streptophyta; Magnoliopsida; Fabales; Fabaceae. The transcript is spliced from 3 exons. The record is from RefSeq and is a predicted model, not a curated record.
UCUCUCUCUCUCUCUCUCUCUCUCUCUCUCUCUCUCUCUGUUCACUGAAACCCUAAAACCUCCACCUCUCCAUUCUCUCUAAUCGAUUUUCCUCAUAUCAACAUCCUCAAUCCCCUUUCUAUUCUCCUUACAAACCCUAGCGGGUUCCUCAUUCUUCUCGGUGCCUCAUACCGCUGAGACAAUGAAGACAAUGGACGUUGAAGAUGUUCACGGGAACUGAGACAACGGAUGGUAGCCAAAUUCUUGCAAGAUUUUAGAUCUGUGAGUUUUGAGGAUGGGGAAGCGAUUGCUGAUGCGAUUCAGCAUAUGUAUUUGUCGGGUCAGAGAUUUGGUUGUAGCAUCACUUCAGAUUUGCACUUAUAUUGUUCUGGUUUCAUGAACUAUAUCUUUAUCAAGAUUACCUUUUAGUUUCAUUAUUUGAUUUCAUGAACCUACAUUUACCUUUCUGAUUUGCACAUUUUUUAACCAUUUGAUUUCAUUAUUUCUUAUAGUUUUCUUUUAGUUUCCUUUUAGGUUUCUGUCCAAGACUAUCCAGUUUUCUUUCUACUCUAAACUUCAAGUGGAUGCUGACGAUCCAACUGCAAGCUACAUGUUACAAUGCAGAUGAAAUUAGCUUAUGCUGAAGCUUCAUCUAAAUUAAAUUGUAAGUGUAAGCAUUUACUGAUUAUAUAUUAUUAAUUGUUUGUUUAGUUUGAAGAUAGGUUCUAGAUUUUACUUAUUUUCCUCUCUCGAUUAUAGAUAAUUUGACAGAUGCACUUUUGUUCUUGUCGCAUUUUGUCGGGGAUGUACAUCAGAUCUCAAUGCUUCUCAAGUUUCAACCGCCACAUAAGUUCUUCAACGCCUUUUUCUAGCUGGUCUUUGGCUUCUUCAAGUUCCUCUGUAUAUCUUGCAUCCAUUCCGAGCAUUCUGAGUUUUAUUCUAGCAACCCUUCUCCUAUAAUUACGAAAUGUAACUUGCUCGCAAAAAUGAGUAUGAAUUUGAAUUACAACUUUUCUUUGCGUUCUAAGUAAGAUUUCAUGGUAAUGUAUCUUUUGAAAUUCUUUACUAUUUUCAGAGUUGUUGCUUCACGUCAAUACCGGCCGUAAAGCUUCCGGGCCAAUAUGUAAUUUAGAAUGGUUUAUAACAUUGAUACAAGCCAGUUAUAAUGAAUGCUUAUAUUAUUUUGCUCACUCCUUGGAAGUUUUGUGCAUUGGUUUGUAUUUAUCUCGAUAUGUAGAUAUUAUUUAAGUAAUUGGAUGCCAAUACGAUUCGAUAUAUUUGUUUCUUACUGUAUAGAAUAGGUGUCAUAUUUUCCAUAUUUGAUUCAUAUAGACUCAAUGUUAUAUGAAAGCGUAUAAACACGUCAAUGCUAU